RNAcentral lists this ribosomal RNA (445 nucleotides) under uncultured bacterium. RNAcentral's name for it is "bacterial SSU rRNA". It matches the Rfam family "Bacterial small subunit ribosomal RNA", at positions 331 to 793 of the family's 1533-position model. The record is from RNAcentral.
CCAGACUCCUACGGGAGGCAGCAGUGGGGAAUAUUGCACAAUGGGGGAAACCCUGAUGCAGCGACGCCGCGUGAGUGAAGAAGUAAUUCGUUAUGUAAAGCUCUAUCAGCAGGGAAGAAAAUGACGGUACCUGAGUAAGAAGCCCCGGCUAACUACGUGCCAGCAGCCGCGGUAAUACGUAGGGGGCAAGCGUUAUCCGGAAUUACUGGGUGUAAAGGGUGAGUAGGCGGCAUGGUAAGCCAGAUGUGAAAGCCUUGGGCUUAACCCGAGGAUUGCAUUUGGAACUGUAAGGCUAGAGUGUCGGAGAGGCAGGCGGAAUUCCUAGUGUAGCGGUGAAAUGCGUAGAUAUUAGGAGGAACACCAGUGGCGAAGGCGGCCUGCUGGACGAUGACUGACGUUGAGGCUCGAAAGCGUGGGGAGCAAACAGGAUUAGAUACCCGUGUAC